AUUGAACGCUGGCGGCAUGCUUUACACAUGCAAGUCGAACGGUAACAGCACUUCGGUGGCUGACGAGUGGCGAACGGGUGAGUAAUACAUCGGAACGUGCCUAGUAGUGGGGGAUAACUACUCGAAAGAGUGGCUAAUACCGCAUGAGAUCUAAGGAUGAAAGCAGGGGACCUUCGGGCCUUGCGCUACUAGAGCGGCUGAUGGCAGAUUAGGUAGUUGGUGGGAUAAAAGCUUACCAAGCCGACGAUCUGUAGCUGGUCUGAGAGGACGACCAGCCACACUGGGACUGAGACACGGCCCAGACUCCUACGGGAGGCAGCAGUGGGGAAUUUUGGACAAUGGGCGCAAGCCUGAUCCAGCAAUGCCGCGUGCAGGAUGAAGGCCUUCGGGUUGUAAACUGCUUUUGUACGGAACGAAAAGCCCUCUUCUAAUACAGGAGGGUCAUGACGGUACCGUAAGAAUAAGCACCGGCUAACUACGUG
Molecule: ribosomal RNA, 482 nt
Filed under: uncultured bacterium
Lineage: Bacteria
Description: partial 16S ribosomal RNA
Rfam family: Bacterial small subunit ribosomal RNA
Source: RNAcentral